Molecule: unclassified non-coding RNA, 336 nt
Filed under: soil metagenome
Description: partial contains 5.8S ribosomal RNA, internal transcribed spacer 2, and large subunit ribosomal RNA
Rfam family: 5.8S ribosomal RNA (bases 1-120)
Source: RNAcentral
GAUGAAGAACGCAGCGAAAUGCGAUAAGUAAUGUGAAUUGCAGAAUUCAGUGAAUCAUCGAAUCUUUGAACGCACAUUGCGCCCCUUGGUAUUCCGAGGGGCAUGCCUGUUCGAGCGUCAUUACACCACUCAAGCUAUGCUUGGUAUUGGGCGUCGUCCUUAGUUGGGCGCGCCUUAAAGACCUCGGCGAGGCCACUCCGGCUUUAGGCGUAGUAGAAUUUAUUCGAACGUCUGUCAAAGGAGAGGAACUCUGCCGACUGAAACCUUUAUUUUUCUAGGUUGACCUCGGAUCAGGUAGGGAUACCCGCUGAACUUAAGCAUAUCAAUAGCGGAGGA